RNAcentral lists this ribosomal RNA (476 nucleotides) under uncultured bacterium. RNAcentral describes it as "partial 16S ribosomal RNA". It matches the Rfam family "Bacterial small subunit ribosomal RNA", at positions 28 to 523 of the family's 1533-position model. The record is from RNAcentral.
GACGAACGCUGGCGGCGUGCUUAACACAUGCAAGUCGAGCGGAGAAUAUAGCAAUAUAUUCUUAGCGGCGGACGGGUGAGUAACGCGUGGGCAAUCUGCCUCAUACAGGGGGAUAACACUGGGAAACUAGUGCUAAUACCGCAUAAAAUAAUGAAGUGGCAUCACUUUAUUAUCAAAGGAGAAAUCCGGUGUGAGAUGAGCCCGCGUCCGAUUAGCUAGUUGGAGGGGUAACGGCCCACCAAGGCGACGAUCGGUGGCCGAACUGAGAGGUUGAUCGGCCACAUUGGGACUGAGACACGGCCCAGACUCCUACGGGAGGCAGCAGUGGGGAAUAUUGCGCAAUGGGGGAAACCCUGACGCAGCAACGCCGCGUGAAGGAUGAAGGUUUUCGGAUUGUAAACUUCUUUGAUUGGGGAAGAUAAUGACGGUACCCAAAAAACAAGCCACGGCUAACUACGUGCCAGCAGCCGCCGUAA